CACCUUCCGUGCUGAUUUUUCUCAGCCUCUGAAGUGAACAGAGCUACAAUCUCCCGUGCAAUCUCGAGGGCAGUUGUGUUUCAGAUUUCAGAAGAUUUGCAGGUUCCUCGGAAGGCGAUGCCGUUCAGGCUAGAAAGAUGGCCUCGGGGUAAGGUGCAAACUCAUGGCUGCCUAGAGCAACUUGACUCCAAUACAAGGAAGAACCAGCCUGAGGUGAAAAAAAAAAAGAGAUGCUGGCAAGCAGAGAAGCAAAGACAAGCAGAGAUAAAUCAGGCUUUAACACAGGACCACACACACCUCAGCACGCUGCUGCCUUCGCCCAGCCCUGCCCACUCACUUCUUUCUCCUUAUUUCCCAACCGUGCCACAGAGAGUGAACUCCAGGCUUGAGGAACAGCUUAGGGGCAGGGCACACUCCCAUCAAUGUAAGACUGGAUUCAGGUUCCACCCUUAGCUCUGGGGGAAACUUGGACAAACUCCAUGGCUGGGUAAAUUAAGCCAGCAAGAUCCAAGUGCAUGCUGUUGCCAUUGGCUUGAAGGGCAUCCAGCUUGUCCUGUGAAUUUGCUUUUCCAGAACUGUACAACCAAUGAGAGGCUCCUAAAAUUUAACCAGUUGGUUUGAGCUGUCUUUUGUUAAACUGCUUUUGUGUAUAUGAAACCAUUGACCGUUUU
RNAcentral lists this long non-coding RNA (671 nucleotides) under Mus caroli (Ryukyu mouse). RNAcentral's name for it is "lncRNA (MGP_CAROLIEiJ_G0006241.1)". Lineage: Eukaryota; Metazoa; Chordata; Mammalia; Rodentia; Muridae. The record is from RNAcentral.